UAAUAUACAAAGCGAAGAAUCUUACCAGGGGUUGACAUGCCGCAAAUCCUCUUGAAAGAGAGGAGUGCCUUCAGGAACAUAGACGUAGGUAGUGCAUGGCUGUUGUUAGCUCGUGCCAUAAGGUGUUGGGUUAAGUCCCACAACGAGCACAAUCCUAGUAUAUCUUCGCUUGAUAGAACAAGAAUGGGCGUUUAUUUGAUCUUGAUCCUUGUGAA
RNAcentral lists this ribosomal RNA (215 nucleotides) under Olea europaea subsp. europaea. RNAcentral describes it as "Bacterial small subunit ribosomal RNA". It matches the Rfam family "Bacterial small subunit ribosomal RNA", at positions 947 to 1158 of the family's 1533-position model. Lineage: Eukaryota; Viridiplantae; Streptophyta; Magnoliopsida; Lamiales; Oleaceae. The record is from Rfam by way of RNAcentral.